Molecule: ribosomal RNA, 899 nt
Filed under: Pseudomonas aeruginosa
Lineage: Bacteria; Pseudomonadati; Pseudomonadota; Gammaproteobacteria; Pseudomonadales; Pseudomonadaceae
Description: bacterial SSU rRNA
Rfam family: Bacterial small subunit ribosomal RNA
Source: RNAcentral
UGCAGUCGAGCGGAUGAAGGGGGCUUGCUCCUGGAUUCAGCGGCGGACGGGUGAGUAAUGCCUAGGAAUCUGCCUGGUAGUGGGGGAUAACGUCCGGAAACGGGCGCUAAUACCGCAUACGUCCUGAGGGAGAAAGUGGGGGAUCUUCGGACCUCACGCUAUCAGAUGAGCCUAGGUCGGAUUAGCUAGUUGGUGGGGUAAAGGCCUACCAAGGCGACGAUCCGUAACUGGUCUGAGAGGAUGAUCAGUCACACUGGAACUGAGACACGGUCCAGACUCCUACGGGAGGCAGCAGUGGGGAAUAUUGGACAAUGGGCGAAAGCCUGAUCCAGCCAUGCCGCGUGUGUGAAGAAGGUCUUCGGAUUGUAAAGCACUUUAAGUUGGGAGGAAGGGCAGUAAGUUAAUACCUUGCUGUUUUGACGUUACCAACAGAAUAAGCACCGGCUAACUUCGUGCCAGCAGCCGCGGUAAUACGAAGGGUGCAAGCGUUAAUCGGAAUUACUGGGCGUAAAGCGCGCGUAGGUGGUUCAGCAAGUUGGAUGUGAAAUCCCCGGGCUCAACCUGGGAACUGCAUCCAAAACUACUGAGCUAGAGUACGGUAGAGGGUGGUGGAAUUUCCUGUGUAGCGGUGAAAUGCGUAGAUAUAGGAAGGAACACCAGUGGCGAAGGCGACCACCUGGACUGAUACUGACACUGAGGUGCGAAAGCGUGGGGAGCAAACAGGAUUAGAUACCCUGGUAGUCCACGCCGUAAACGAUGUCGACUAGCCGUUGGGAUCCUUGAGAUCUUAGUGGCGCAGCUAACGCGAUAAGUCGACCGCCUGGGGAGUACGGCCGCAAGGUUAAAACUCAAAUGAAUUGACGGGGGCCCGCACAAGCGGUGGAGCAUGUGGUUUAAUU